GAAUAUUGGACAAUGGGGGGAACCCUGAUCCAGCCAUGCCGCGCGAGUGAAGAAGGCCGUUCGGGUGUGAAGAACUUUAAGAGAGGCGGAGGAGCUCUGGGUGAGUACCGAAGAUGCUUGGACGUUGCUCGCAGACUACGCACCGGCGUAAUCGGUGCGUGCAGCCGCGGUAAUACGGAGGGUGCAAGCGUUAAUCGGAUUUACUGGGCGUAAAGCGCGCGUAGGUGGCCAAUUAAGUCAAAUGUGAAGUUCCCGAGCUUAACGUGGGAAUUGCAUUCGAUACUGGUUAGCUAGAGUAUGGGAGAGGAUUGUAGAAUUCCAGGUGUAGCUGUGCAAUGCGUAGAGAUCUGGAGGAAUACCGAUGGCGAAGGCAGCCAUCUGGCCUAAUACUGACACUGAGGUGCGAAAGCAUGGGGAGCAAACA
RNAcentral lists this ribosomal RNA (424 nucleotides) under uncultured bacterium. RNAcentral's name for it is "partial 16S ribosomal RNA". It matches the Rfam family "Bacterial small subunit ribosomal RNA", at positions 359 to 774 of the family's 1533-position model. The record is from RNAcentral.